CCAGACUCCUACGGGAGGCAGCAGUGGGGGAUAUUGGACAAUGGGGGGAACCCUGAUCCAGCGACGCCGCGUGAGUGAAGAAGUAUCUCGGUAUGUAAAGCUCUAUCAGCAGGGAAGAAAGAAAUGACGGUACCUGAGUAAGAAGCCCCGGCUAACUACGUGCCAGCAGCCGCGGUAAUACGUAGGGGGCAAGCGUUAUCCGGAUUUACUGGGUGUAAAGGGAGCGUAGACGGCAGCACAAGUCUGGAGUGAAAUGCCGGGGCUUAACCCCGGAACUGCUUUGGAAACUGUGCAGCUAGAGUGCAGGAGAGGUAAGUGGAAUUCCUAGUGUAGCGGUGAAAUGCAUAGAUAUCACGCAGAACUCCGAUUGCGAAGGCAGCAUACCGGCGCCCAACUGACGCUCAGGCACGAAAGCGUGGGUAUCGAACAGGAUUAGAUACCCUCGUA
This 447-nucleotide ribosomal RNA is filed under the name uncultured bacterium. RNAcentral describes it as "bacterial SSU rRNA". It matches the Rfam family "Bacterial small subunit ribosomal RNA", at positions 331 to 792 of the family's 1533-position model. The record is from RNAcentral.